This 408-nucleotide ribosomal RNA is filed under the name bacterium enrichment culture clone ALO1_GLFRUDD03FZ6AD. RNAcentral's name for it is "bacterial SSU rRNA". It matches the Rfam family "Bacterial small subunit ribosomal RNA", at positions 9 to 416 of the family's 1533-position model. The record is from RNAcentral.
GAGUUUGAUCGUGGCUCAGAUUGAACGCUGGCGGCAUGCCUUACACAUGCAAGUCGAACGGCAGCACGGGAGCUUGCUCCUGGUGGCGAGUGGCGAACGGGUGAGUAAUGCAUCGGAACGUAUCCUGGAGUGGGGGGAUAACGUAGCGAAAGUUACGCUAAUACCGCAUAUUCUGUGAGCAGGAAAGCGGGGGACCUUCGGGCCUCGCGCUCUUGGAGCGGCCGAUGUCGGAUUAGCUAGUUGGUGAGGUAAAGGCUCACCAAGGCGACGAUCCGUAGCAGGUCUGAGAGGAUGAUCUGCCACACUGGAACUGAGACACGGUCCAGACUCCUACGGGAGGCAGCAGUGGGAAUUUUGGACAAUGGGGGCAACCCUAAAUCCAGCCAUGCCGCGUGAGUGAAGAAGGCC